Molecule: long non-coding RNA, 156 nt
Organism: Phyllostomus discolor (pale spear-nosed bat)
Lineage: Eukaryota; Metazoa; Chordata; Mammalia; Chiroptera; Phyllostomidae
Exons: 3
Source: RefSeq, a predicted model, not a curated record
CAAAGGACAGUUUGAAUGUUUCUGAGAAGUAAUUAAAAAAGAAUAGGAACUUGUGUUUAUGAAAGAUUUUUGUGUAUAUUAGGGAGGGAGAAGUAGCAUUGACACUUUGAUGACUUAUUCUCUGUCAGUAAAUCUGUUAUGAUCUUUAUAGAUGCA